Notothenia coriiceps (black rockcod) is the source of this 367-nucleotide long non-coding RNA. RefSeq lists it as uncharacterized. NCBI's taxonomy places the organism in Eukaryota, Metazoa, Chordata, Actinopteri, Perciformes, Nototheniidae. The record is from RefSeq and is a predicted model, not a curated record. The transcript is spliced from 3 exons.
CAUCGUGUUUCGCUGGCCAGUCCGUCUCUGCAAACGCUGCCUUGCAGAGGAACACACACAUACGUAGGCUACACACGUUAAUCUCGGACGCCUCUCUCCGCUGGUAGAGAACGCUUGGUCGGACCGCGGAGGGGUCGGGAUAUUGCCUCGGUUCUGCCCGGGAAACGGUUCAUUUCUGCUGGACGCUGAGCGCUGUGAUCGGCCGGCGAUGCGGGAGCAGCUUCGGAACCACCAGACCCAAACAACAUGCUGGGAUCAUCCCAAGAUGGCCGAGCUCUACCAGUCUCUGGCCGACCUGAACAAUGUUCGAUUCUCGGCCUACCGGACAGCCAUGAAGCUCAGGCGCCUGCAGAAGGCUCUCUGCUGU